UCCACACACACACACACACUCUCACACACAGAGGACAGACGCAGUGAAGAGUUGAGGGGACUUGCUGUUGGUUGCUUUCCUCUGGACAAUGGCUCUUUUAUCCACCAGCCUCCCUGCUAAUCUGACCUCACUGGCUGAAGAUGGAGACAAGACAAAUUCUGAUAAUUGCUCACUUGAAUCCAACUGGACCUUCACUUAUGUCCCACCGUACAUCCUGUCCAUCUCUGUUCUGGGAAUUGUUUUCAACAUCUUUGUGCUGAUGGUCUUCAUCCUCCAUAAGAAGCCCUGCACCGUGGCUGAGAUCUACCUGAGCAACCUGGCUGCUGCCGACCUGUUCCUGGUCUCCUUCCUGCCCUUCUGGGCCGUCAACGCUUGGAAUAAGUUUGACUGGAUUUUUGGGCUUGCCAUGUGCAAAAUGGUCAACGUGAGCAUCCUGAUGAACGCCUACUGCAGCAUCUACUUCAUGGUUCUGAUUAGCAUCGAUCGUUAUUUGGCUCUGGUUCAUCCACUGUCCCAAGAAAAAAUGCGUCGUCCAAAAUUUGCCAAAAUCUGUUGUGUUGUGGUUUGGAUUCUGGGAUUAAUUCUUAGUGUUCCCAAAUUUAUCAACAGGAAAUUGGUACCUGACAGAAAUAGGACCGCCUGUAGUGAAGCUGAUCCAGAGAUAAAUGAGUCGAUGAUUUUGGUGUUAGGGUUUCUUAUUCCCAUUUCCAUCAUUUUCUUUUGCACUGUCAACAUCCUCAGAGCUCUGAGGAACAGGUUUAUGGAAGGAGUAAAUGCAAAGAAAAAUGAUCACAAGGCCAACACUUUGGUCCUGGCCGUCCUGCUGGCGUUCCUGAUCUGUUGGGUCCCGUUCCAUCUGCGGAACAUCCCAACCUGGCUCAACAAGGCCGGCAUGCUGACAGACUGCAGCUCUAUGAACAUCCAGCACUUCUGUGGGCAGAUCUUCACCUACUUGGCGUUCUUCAACAGCGUUCUCAAUCCCAUUCUCUACGUCAUUGUCGGAAGAAACUUCCGGAAAAAAGUUAAGGAACUUUUUCUGCAGUGGAACCACAAACGGAGUCCAACCAUGACUCUAAGAAGUUCAAGAACAAAACUAUCAAUAUUACAUCCCUCUUAGGUCUGACUUACUGUGCAUUCAGCUCAUUUCCUCCAUGAGACGUUUUUAAUUCAGGAGAUCAUGCAGACCAUCAGAGCUGUCUGAUAAUUAACCAGCAUCCCCACACAGGUUUCAUAAUCAUAGAAGUAAUGGACUGAAAUGAAGUUAAUGGAAGCAAUCAGUCAAAGCGAUGGAAGCAGGAUUUCUGUUGGAAAGCUUCUAAUGGUUGCUUUUCCAUGUGUGUUUAUGUUAUUAACUAUUUUGUGUAUUUGGAUGUUUGUUGUGACAUGAGUAACUUGUAUUACUGAACCCAUCCAUGUGACAUAUAGAAAUGCUCUGUGGGAUAUUGCUGCACGUCUCUCUGCAAAACCUUUCGUCUGUUAUGCAGAUAAAAGUGAGCGGCUUCCUGCAGCCAUGAACUUACAGGAUGCACAGGUUGCUCUGCAGAAUUAUAUUUCCCUUAACUUUGAUUUCUCUUGAUUCCCUGUCAUGGUGCUCUCUCUCUCUCUCUCUCUCUCUCUCUCUCUCUCUCUCUCUCUCUCUCUCUCUCUCUCUCUCUCUCUGUCUCUCUCUCUCUGUCUCUCUCUCUCUCUCUCUCUCUCUCUCACUCUGUCUCUCUCUGUCUCUCUCUCACUCUGUUUCUCUCUCUCUCUCUCUCUCUCUCUCUCUCUCUCUCUGUGGGCACUGAACCACUUCCUUCUACUGACAGAGCUUUGGUGGAAUAACCUUUAGGUAACAAAAUGGUCGGCAUUAACUGUUACAGAAAAACUGUUCUUGCAGUUUUCAGUGUAUUUACUGUUAUGUUUUAAAUGUCUCUUUGCUGAAGUCUGAAUGAAGAAUGUAAACUGAUCUUGUUUUGACUUUCAUCCACUGGUUAAUCCUUCUGUAAACAGUUUUCUCUGGUGAAACCAGAUGAUCACCAACAGAUGAUGUAAUGAGGCUCCGCCUCUUUUCAAUAUUUCUGUUUUUCUGUCUAAAGUGCAUUUUUUAUACUUCAUGCAUGUGUUUGAUAUAUAACAAGUUGUAAUCA
Molecule: RNA transcript, 2126 nt
Organism: Gambusia affinis (western mosquitofish)
Lineage: Eukaryota; Metazoa; Chordata; Actinopteri; Cyprinodontiformes; Poeciliidae
Gene name: B2 bradykinin receptor-like
Exons: 3
Source: RefSeq, a predicted model, not a curated record